GGUCCUCCAGGGACUGCCCUGCCGCAGCGGGGGACCCCAAGGGAAGUCAGGGAGGGGGCGCCCCCGCCUCUCUCUGUUCCCCCGCUCUCGGGUGUCUGGUUGCACCUCCAGCUCUUGCCAGGGGGCAGACCCCGGCUCCAGCAGGGACCCCCGCCGGGCGCACCCCGAAGGGUUCAGGGCCGCAGCCCCGGGGGGCCGGCACCCCAGCGCCUUUGAACUCCGAACCGAAACCAGUCCUGGUUAAACUGGUUGGCAGACCGGUUCCGGGCGCCCCGCUCCUCCCGGGCCUGGAGCCUCGGUGGGGCUGGGUGGGGGGCUGCGCCUCCCCGACACCAAGCCCCCCCUGGGACCUCCCUGGGGGGAAGGGGCCGGGUGUUCGCAGCCAGACUUCAGCGUCCUCGCGUGCAGAUCCCUGCGUGGUCCAGGGCCUGGCUUUUCCGCGGAGGGUGACGCUUCCCUCAGACCCUCAGGGGACAGUGGCGGGUUCCCCAGCCCAAGUGCCCCCAACUCCCAGGCGGACUGGAAGGGGCUCCUCGGAAUUCUGAAUCUCGGCUACAGACCUAACACUACACUCAGCAAGAGCUUCAGGCCGACUUGAAAAUGUGAAUGAGAAACAGAAACUUCAUGCAGCCCUUUGCUUUACCCUGCUGUCCCAGGGCAGAAGCCAGGCAUUGUGGCGCACAUCUGUCAUCUCAGGACCAGGGAGGCUGAGGCAGGAGAAUCGACCCAAGUUCGACGCCAGCCUGGGCUACAUAGUGAGUUCAAGGCCAACCUGAACUGCACAGGGAGACUCUGUCUCCAAAAAACUCCCCCCAAGUCUGAAACAAAACAAAAGAAAACUCAUCGCAGCUCGCCGAGGCUGUCGGGGUGCUCUUGGGCCUGGGGACAGGAAACAGGUCAGGGCCUGCUUCCCACCCGCACCCCCUGGCCCUGAAGUCCAGGCCUCUGGGGUCUCGGGGAGGGACGGCUGGGACAGCCCAACUCCAGCCGCAGGGCAUUCACCAUGGGCG
Non-coding RNA from Heterocephalus glaber (naked mole-rat), 1010 nucleotides. The record is from RefSeq and is a predicted model, not a curated record. NCBI's taxonomy places the organism in Eukaryota, Metazoa, Chordata, Mammalia, Rodentia, Bathyergidae.